AAGGAAGCACAGUCACAAUCCAGGCAUGAGCCAGCCCACCCAGACCCACACUCACCCACAACAAGCCUGCAAUGGAGGAGCUUUUGAAUUCUCUUUGUGAUAAAGUCCUCUGGGGUAGAGAAGAGUGUUAAACCAAGAGGGAAGGAUUAAGCUCAUGCUGCCCUGCCGCCACUGACCUCCAUGAAGUAUGGUGUCCAACUGCAGAUGUAUGGAACUACAUCCCAGCAGAGGCCUAUGUGAAGCUGCUGUCCUGCUUCCAGACCUGGCUGAACCUCGUGGGCUGUCACUGAGGGCUGUGUGGAGGCACCAGCUCACACUGGCACUACAGCAGGGACUCGAGAAUUAAUUUCAGUUUUGGAAGUCUUUCCAUGUUUAAACCUGACUGAAUUGGCAAAAUCUCUGCUCCAGUACCAGAACCGUGGCAUUACAUCCCAGAAGAAGUCCUUGUUUGAAUAGUGUAUUAUCUUUGAGAUGGACAGAGUCUUCCAGGCAUGCAGACAAGGGGCUGCAGCUGUUCUUCCAGCUCUGUGUGGCACUUCACAGGGGUCAGGUGAGAGGAGUGGGGUCCUCUGUCCAAGCAGGAAUAACC
Long non-coding RNA from Pyrgilauda ruficollis (rufous-necked snowfinch), 589 nucleotides. RefSeq lists it as uncharacterized. NCBI's taxonomy places the organism in Eukaryota, Metazoa, Chordata, Aves, Passeriformes, Passeridae. The record is from RefSeq and is a predicted model, not a curated record. The transcript is spliced from 3 exons.